This 553-nucleotide long non-coding RNA is filed under the name Monodelphis domestica (gray short-tailed opossum). RNAcentral's name for it is "lncRNA (ENSMODG00000048534.1)". The record is from RNAcentral. Lineage: Eukaryota; Metazoa; Chordata; Mammalia; Didelphimorphia; Didelphidae.
CUUGCUAGUGAGAUGGAGUUGCACAAUCAUCAGCCUCACUCUUCCAGAGUCAUCAAAGUUCAGUACCAAGACAAAAUUCAGAAUGACCUCAAUGUAGUGAGGUCCAAUGACCACACAAUGAGGCCAGUGACCAGGAUGUAGUGGAUGACCCUGGCAUUUUCAAUGCCUGCCAAGCUCUAAGUACUCCACAAUGUUUGCUUCAGUCAUCUUCAUGACUGUUGGAACAAACUGUUCUCAUCUGCCCAUUUCACAGUGGGGAAGUCUUCGCAUGCUGGGGGUAGACAUCUCUGUUACUCACCAAUUGGUUUGAGAUCUGUUGUCCAUAAUCAACCUGGUUUAGAUGGUUUUAACAAAAUGGAGCUGCCAUUCAUUCUAUCACUUCUCAGAGCCACAGAUCUGUCAUGAGGGAAUAACUCCUUACUACUGGAGAGAGCCUAUUCCACUUUUUGAAAGCUCUUAUUGUUGUGACCUUCUGAAAUCUCUCCAUAUUAAGAGUCCCUGCUGGAAGGUACUGGAUCAAUACCAUCCCUUGCCAGUGCCAAGGGUAACAUGA